ACUAAGCGUACACGGUGGAUGCCCUGGCAGUCAGAGGCGAUGAAGGACGUGCUAAUCUGCGAUAAGCGUCGGUAAGGUGAUAUGAACCGUUAUAACCGGCGAUUUCCGAAUGGGGAAACCCAGUGUGUUUCGACACACUAUCAUUAACUGAAUCCAUAGGUUAAUGAGGCGAACCGGGGGAACUGAAACAUCUAAGUACCCCGAGGAAAAGAAAUCAACCGAGAUUCCCCCAGUAGCGGCGAGCGAACGGGGAGCAGCCCAGAGCCUGAAUCAGUGUGUGUGUUAGUGGAAGCGUCUGGAAAGGCGCGCGAUACAGGGUGACAGCCCCGUACACAAAAAUGCACAUGCUGUGAGCUCGAUGAGUAGGGCGGGACACGUGGUAUCCUGUCUGAAUAUGGGGGGACCAUCCUCCAAGGCUAAAUACUCCUGACUGACCGAUAGUGAACCAGUACCGUGAGGGAAAGGCGAAAAGAACCCCGGCGAGGGGAGUGAAAAAGAACCUGAAACCGUGUACGUACAAGCAGUGGGAGCACGCUUAGGCGUGUGACUGCGUACCUUUUGUAUAAUGGGUCAGCGACUUAUAUUCUGUAGCAAGGUUAACCGAAUAGGGGAGCCGAAGGGAAACCGAGUCUUAACUGGGCGUUAAGUUGCAGGGUAUAGACCCGAAACCCGGUGAUCUAGCCAUGGGCAGGUUGAAGGUUGGGUAACACUAACUGGAGGACCGAACCGACUAAUGUUGAAAAAUUAGCGGAUGACUUGUGGCUGGGGGUGAAAGGCCAAUCAAACCGGGAGAUAGCUGGUUCUCCCCGAAAGCUAUUUAGGUAGCGCCUCGUGAACUCAUCUCCGGGGGUAGAGCACUGUUUCGGCAAGGGGGUCAUCCCGACUUACCAACCCGAUGCAAACUGCGAAUACCGGAGAAUGUUAUCACGGGAGACACACGGCGGGUGCUAACGUCCGUCGUGAAGAGGGAAACAACCCAGACCGCCAGCUAAGGUCCCAAAGUCAUGGUUAAGUGGGAAACGAUGUGGGAAGGCCCAGACAGCCAGGAUGUUGGCUUAGAAGCAGCCAUCAUUUAAAGAAAGCGUAAUAGCUCACUGGUCGAGUCGGCCUGCGCGGAAGAUGUAACGGGGCUAAACCAUGCACCGAAGCUGCGGCAGCGACGCUGAUGCGUUGUUGGGUAGGGGAGCGUUCUGUAAGCCUGUGAAGGUGUGCUGUGAGGCAUGCUGGAGGUAUCAGAAGUGCGAAUGCUGACAUAAGUAACGAUAAAGCGGGUGAAAAGCCCGCUCGCCGGAAGACCAAGGGUUCCUGUCCAACGUUAAUCGGGGCAGGGUGAGUCGACCCCUAAGGCGAGGCCGAAAGGCGUAGUCGAUGGGAAACAGGUUAAUAUUCCUGUACUUGGUGUUACUGCGAAGGGGGGACGGAGAAGGCUAUGUUGGCCGGGCGACGGUUGUCCCGGUUUAAGCGUGUAGGCUGGUUUUCCAGGCAAAUCCGGAAAAUCAAGGCUGAGGCGUGAUGACGAGGCACUACGGUGCUGAAGCAACAAAUGCCCUGCUUCCAGGAAAAGCCUCUAAGCAUCAGGUAACAUCAAAUCGUACCCCAAACCGACACAGGUGGUCAGGUAGAGAAUACCAAGGCGCUUGAGAGAACUCGGGUGAAGGAACUAGGCAAAAUGGUGCCGUAACUUCGGGAGAAGGCACGCUGAUAUGUAGGUGAAGUCCCUCGCGGAUGGAGCUGAAAUCAGUCGAAGAUACCAGCUGGCUGCAACUGUUUAUUAAAAACACAGCACUGUGCAAACACGAAAGUGGACGUAUACGGUGUGACGCCUGCCCGGUGCCGGAAGGUUAAUUGAUGGGGUCAGCGCAAGCGAAGCUCUUGAUCGAAGCCCCGGUAAACGGCGGCCGUAACUAUAACGGUCCUAAGGUAGCGAAAUUCCUUGUCGGGUAAGUUCCGACCUGCACGAAUGGCGUAAUGAUGGCCAGGCUGUCUCCACCCGAGACUCAGUGAAAUUGAACUCGCUGUGAAGAUGCAGUGUACCCGCGGCAAGACGGAAAGACCCCGUGAACCUUUACUAUAGCUUGACACUGAACAUUGAGCCUUGAUGUGUAGGAUAGGUGGGAGGCUUAGAAGUGUGGACGCCAGUCUGCAUGGAGCCGACCUUGAAAUACCACCCUUUAAUGUUUGAUGUUCUAACGUUGACCCGUAAUCCGGGUUGCGGACAGUGUCUGGUGGGUAGUUUGACUGGGGCGGUCUCCUCCUAAAGAGUAACGGAGGAGCACGAAGGUUGGCUAAUCCUGGUCGGACAUCAGGAGGUUAGUGCAAUGGCAUAAGCCAGCUUGACUGCGAGCGUGACGGCGCGAGCAGGUGCGAAAGCAGGUCAUAGUGAUCCGGUGGUUCUGAAUGGAAGGGCCAUCGCUCAACGGAUAAAAGGUACUCCGGGGAUAACAGGCUGAUACCGCCCAAGAGUUCAUAUCGACGGCGGUGUUUGGCACCUCGAUGUCGGCUCAUCACAUCCUGGGGCUGAAGUAGGUCCCAAGGGUAUGGCUGUUCGCCAUUUAAAGUGGUACGCGAGCUGGGUUUAGAACGUCGUGAGACAGUUCGGUCCCUAUCUGCCGUGGGCGCUGGAGAACUGAGGGGGGCUGCUCCUAGUACGAGAGGACCGGAGUGGACGCAUCACUGGUGUUCGGGUUGUCAUGCCAAUGGCACUGCCCGGUAGCUAAAUGCGGAAGAGAUAAGUGCUGAAAGCAUCUAAGCACGAAACUUGCCCCGAGAUGAGUUCUCCCUGACCCUUUAAGGGUCCUGAAGGAACGUUGAAGACGACGACGUUGAUAGGCCGGGUGUGUAAGCGCAGCGAUGCGUUGAGCUAACCGGUACUAAUGAACCGUGAGGCUUAACC
This 2893-nucleotide ribosomal RNA is filed under the name Escherichia coli. RNAcentral's name for it is "bacterial LSU rRNA". It matches the Rfam family "Bacterial large subunit ribosomal RNA". The record is from RNAcentral. Lineage: Bacteria; Pseudomonadati; Pseudomonadota; Gammaproteobacteria; Enterobacterales; Enterobacteriaceae.